UUCACCAUUCUUGCAAUUGGCCGUGCCUGAGACGGUGCCUCUACUUGGCAACUCACCACCUGUGACCCCGUACGCUCCAUCUUCAAUCUUCUCAUUCACGAUGAAGUUUGUCGGACUAUUCGCAUCCAGCUGAGCUUGCAGCUAGUUGUGUCUCCUGUCGUGGAAGAUAAUCACUGUGUGAUGGAGGCUGUGGCCUGUGACAUGGCCAUGCCUCGUGGUUGUGUGUACGAUAAAUAUAGAUAAACUUAAAAUCGAUAUAGAAUUUGUUUCAAUUGGCCUGGCAAGGAUGUAUAAUUUAACUUUACAAGGAUGUAGCACAAAAUAAUUUGGCUUGGCAAGGCUGUAAUACAAAGUACAAGUAAGGAAAGUAAUCCAAUGGUUGGUUCUCCAUCUUCAAGAAUGAUAUAGAGUUUGAUUCGAUUCUCGUUAGUGUACGCCAAACUUUAGGACGUAGGGUUGACGGGCGUGGAUUCUGUUUUAUGCGCUUUUUUU
Molecule: long non-coding RNA, 492 nt
Filed under: Hordeum vulgare
Lineage: Eukaryota; Viridiplantae; Streptophyta; Magnoliopsida; Poales; Poaceae
Description: long non-coding RNA (HVUL_LNC014673)
Source: RNAcentral